UAAUCAAGUGUGCAGGUUUCCCAGCAAGGGUGCAAGAGGCUCCACCACAGCCAUACAGACUCUUGAGAAAAAGAAUAAUAGAAAAAUUAAACACAUGGGAUUAUGACAAUGACUCCAUCAGGACCAAGGUGGUUCCAGAAGUGCUCUCACAAAAAAAGUGAAAAAGCCAAAACAUAACAGAGGGCUCUCUGCCACUGUGGCAGCCUGCGUACUUCUGCUUCUCUGACUUGCCUUUGGAGAAGGAGGCUUGACUUGUGGCACUUAAUUGUCCAUGAUUCUUUCAUGAAUCUUGGACUUCUUUUAAAAAAAAAGUUGCUUACAAGCUCUUCUGCUACAGCUUGAGUUUGGAAACAACAGAGAAACAAGAUUGCAAGUCAGUCAUACCAUAGUCAUCAUCACUUCUAGUUCUGAAAGACUGAAGCAGCAGAUAUCAAAAAGGAGUGGAAGUUCAGGAGCUGCUGAGACUCUACAGCUAACACUUCCUGAGGCUCUGCUCUGCAAGAUAUUUCAGCUAUAACUUGUCAACUGGAUAAGGAAGAAGGUCCAUUGUAUACUUCAACUUUGAAGAAGGUGUUGUUGGUCAAUGGAGCAUUAGUAGACUGUCAUCCUAAUACAUUUCCCUGGAGUACCUAGAGAAUAGUAAAAUGCAGCUGAACUGAAUGGCAUAGGUUGUUCUAAGAAUUAUGUAGUACUGACCUGUAGAGACAGCAUUACUUAGCAUUACCCAAGAAAUUUCAUGGACCACAAGAGAGGCUAUGAACCACAAAGGUCACAAAUUACUUUUCAACACCAUUUUAUCUUGGAAAAUAGACAUGGGGGAAGUUGCCAUUCCCUCAGUUUCCUACACUCUCUGCAAGUCAACUGUACUGCAGAAAGCGACUGAAGUAUGAGACUCUCAU
Molecule: long non-coding RNA, 899 nt
Organism: Lepidothrix coronata (blue-crowned manakin)
Lineage: Eukaryota; Metazoa; Chordata; Aves; Passeriformes; Pipridae
Exons: 4
Source: RefSeq, a predicted model, not a curated record